GAACGUGCCCAGUCGUGGGRGAUAACGCAGCGAAAGCUGCGCUAAUACCGCAUACGAUCUGCGGAUGAAAGCGGGRGACCUUCGGGCCUCGCGCGAUUGGAGCGGCCGAUGUCAGAUUAGGUAGUUGGUGGGGUAAAGGCUCACCAAGCCAACGAUCUGUAGCUGGUCUGAGAGGACGACCAGCCACACUGGGACUGAGACACGGCCCAGACUCCUACGGGAGGCAGCAGUGGGGAAUUUUGGACAAUGGGCGCAAGCCUGAUCCAGCAAUGCCGCGUGCAGGAAGAAGGCCUUCGGGUUGUAAACUGCUUUUGUACGGAACGAAACGGUCUGAGUUAAUACCUCGGGCUAAUGACGGUACCGUAAGAAUAAGCACCGGCUAACUACGUGCCAGCAGCCGCGGUAAUACGUAGGGUGCAAGCGUUAAUCRRAAUUACUGGGCGUAAAGCGUGCGCAGGCGGUUUUGUAAGACAGGCGUGAAAUCCCCGGKCUCAACCUGRGAAUGGCGCUUGUGACUGCAAAGCURGAGUGCGGCAGAGGGRGAUGGAAUUCCGCGUGUAGCAGUGAAAUGCGUAGAUAUGCGGAGGAACACCGAUGGCGAAGGCAAUCCCCUGGGYCUGCACUGACGCUCAUGCACGAAAGCGUGGAGAGCAAACAGGAUUAGAUACCCUGRUAGUCCACGCYCUAAACGAUGUCAACUGGUUGUUGGSUCUCUUCUGACUCAGUAACGAAKCUAACGCGUGAAGUUGACCG
Molecule: ribosomal RNA, 753 nt
Filed under: bacterium
Lineage: Bacteria
Description: bacterial SSU rRNA
Rfam family: Bacterial small subunit ribosomal RNA
Source: RNAcentral